GGGAGAAAGCAGGGGAUCUUCGGACCUUGCGCUAAUAGAUGAGCCUAAGUCGGAUUAGCUAGUUGGUGGGGUAAAGGCCUACCAAGGCGACGAUCUGUAGCGGGUCUGAGAGGAUGAUCCGCCACACUGGGACUGAGACACGGCCCAGACUCCUACGGGAGGCAGCAGUGGGGAAUAUUGGACAAUGGGGGGAACCCUGAUCCAGCCAUGCCGCGUGUGUGAAGAAGGCCUUAUGGUUGUAAAGCACUUUAAGCGAGGAGGAGGCUACUUUAGUUAAUACCUAGAGAUAGUGGACGUUACUCGCAGAAUAAGCACCGGCUAACUCUGUGCCAGCAGCCGCGGUAAUACAGAGGGUGCGAGCGUUAAUCGGAUUUACUGGGCGUAAAGCGUGCGUAGGCGGCUUAUUAAGUCGGAUGUGAAAUCCCCGAGCUUAACUUGGGAAUUGCAUUCGAUACUGGUGAGCUAGAGUAUGGGAGAGGAUGGUAGAAUUCCAGGUGUAGCGGUGAAAUGCGUAGAGAUCUGGAGGAAUACCGAUGGCGAAGGCAGCCAUCUGGCCUAAUACUGACGCUGAGGUACGAAAGCAUGGGGAGCAAACAGGAUUAGAUACCCUGGUAGUCCAUGCCGUAAACGAUGUCUACUAGCCGUUGGGGCCUUUGAGGCUUUAGUGGCGCAGCUAACGCGAUAAGUAGACCGCCUGGGGAGUACGGUCGCAAGACUAAAACUCAAAUGAAUUGACGGGGGCCCGC
RNAcentral lists this ribosomal RNA (746 nucleotides) under Acinetobacter baumannii. Its description in RNAcentral is "bacterial SSU rRNA". It matches the Rfam family "Bacterial small subunit ribosomal RNA", at positions 198 to 924 of the family's 1533-position model. The record is from RNAcentral. Lineage: Bacteria; Pseudomonadati; Pseudomonadota; Gammaproteobacteria; Moraxellales; Moraxellaceae.